RNAcentral lists this ribosomal RNA (397 nucleotides) under uncultured bacterium. RNAcentral describes it as "partial 16S ribosomal RNA". It matches the Rfam family "Bacterial small subunit ribosomal RNA", at positions 523 to 918 of the family's 1533-position model. The record is from RNAcentral.
AUACGUAGGGGGCGAGCGUUGUCCGGAAUGAUUGGGCGUAAAGGGCGCGUAGGCGGCCCGGUAAGUCUGGAGUGAAAGUCCUGUUUUUAAGAUGGGAAUUGCUUUGGAUACUGUCGGGCUUGAGUGCAGGAGAGGUAAGUGGAAUUCCCAGUGUAGCGGUGAAAUGCGUAGAGAUUGGGAGGAACACCAGUGGCGAAGGCGACUUACUGGACUGUAACUGACGCUGAGGCGCGAAAGUGUGGGGAGCAAACAGGAUUAGAUACCCUGGUAGUCCACACUGUAAACGAUGAAUGCUAGGUGUAGGGGGUAUCGACCCCUUCUGUGCCGCAGUCAACACAAUAAGCAUUACGCCUGGGGAGUACGGCCGCAAGGUUGAAACUCAAAGGAAUUGACGGGG